AUGAGUGCCAUCCUUCUUCUCUGUUCUCUUCUUCCCGUGCUCUCUUUCUUCCUCCUUUCUCUCUCUCACACAUCUCGAUUUCUCUCUCUGCCUUGGAUCUUCAGACGGAAGGGCGCCUCGGGCUUCUCCUGGGCCUCCACCGUCGACCACGUCACCGCCGGCAUCUCCGCGUCCGGCCUCACCGCAAUAGUCACGGGUGCAUCGAGCGGGAUCGGCGCGGAGACGGCACGGGUGCUGGCGGCACGCGGGGCCCACGUCGUCAUGGCCGUCCGCAACCUCGCCGUCGCAGAGGACGUGCGCCAGGCCGUCCACGCCGAGUCCCCCGCCGCCAGCCUCGACCUCAUGGAGCUGGACCUCUCCUCCCUCGCCUCUGUCCGCAAGUUCGCCGGCGACUUCGACGCCACCGGCCUCCCCCUCAACAUCCUUGUGUAA
This 432-nucleotide ribosomal RNA is filed under the name Triticum aestivum (bread wheat). Its description in RNAcentral is "partial small subunit ribosomal RNA". Lineage: Eukaryota; Viridiplantae; Streptophyta; Magnoliopsida; Poales; Poaceae. The record is from RNAcentral.